This 465-nucleotide ribosomal RNA is filed under the name Vreelandella stevensii. RNAcentral's name for it is "partial 16S ribosomal RNA". It matches the Rfam family "Bacterial small subunit ribosomal RNA", at positions 338 to 795 of the family's 1533-position model. Lineage: Bacteria; Pseudomonadati; Pseudomonadota; Gammaproteobacteria; Oceanospirillales; Halomonadaceae. The record is from RNAcentral.
CCUACGGGUGGCAGCAGUGGGGAAUAUUGGACAAUGGGGGCAACCCUGAUCCAGCCAUGCCGCGUGUGUGAAGAAGGCCCUCGGGUUGUAAAGCACUUUCAGUGAGGAAGAACGCCUGGUGGUUAAUACCCAUCAGGAAAGACAUCACUCACAGAAGAAGCACCGGCUAACUCCGUGCCAGCAGCCGCGGUAAUACGGAGGGUGCGAGUGUUAAUCGGAAUUACUGGGCGUAAAGCGCGCGUAGGUGGCUUGAUAAGCCGGUUGUGAAAGCCCCGGGCUCAACCUGGGAACGGCAUCCGGAACUGUCAAGCUAGAGUGCAGGAGAGGAAGGUAGAAUUCCCGGUGUAGCGGUGAAAUGCGUAGAGAUCGGGAGGAAUACCAGUGGCGAAGGCGGCCUUCUGGACUGACACUGACACUGAGGUGCGAAAGCGUGGGUAGCAAACAGGAUUAGAUACCCUGGUAGUC